This 370-nucleotide ribosomal RNA is filed under the name uncultured organism. RNAcentral's name for it is "bacterial SSU rRNA". It matches the Rfam family "Bacterial small subunit ribosomal RNA", at positions 526 to 896 of the family's 1533-position model. The record is from RNAcentral.
CGUAGGUGGCAAGCGUUGUCCGGAAUUAUUGGGCGUAAAGGGCGCGUAGGCGGUCCCUUAAGUCAGAUGUGAAAUCCCGAGGCUUAACCUCGGGCGUGCAUUUGAAACUGGGGGACUGGAGUGCAGGAGAGGUAAGUGGAAUUCCUAGUGUAGCGGUGAAAUGCGUAGAUAUUAGGAGGAACACCAGUGGCGAAGGCGACUUACUGGACUGUAACUGACGCUGAGGCGCGAAAGCGUGGGGAGCAAACAGGAUUAGAUACCCUGGUAGUCCACGCCCUAAACGAUGUCAACUGGUUGUUGGGUCUUUACUGACUCAGUAACGAAGCUAACGCGUGAAGUUGACCGCCUGGGGAGUACGGCCGCAAGGUUG